CAAGUUUCUGAUCAGUUUAAUUGGGGGAAGUUUUAUUGGGCAGAAGAAUGGAAAGAAAAUUUUAUCUGGUUCUGGGUACAAUGUGACCUCGGGAAAGAUGUUCACAACUCUGAGGAAACCCUCAGCGGUGCUGGAAGAUUCUGGAACUUACGCAUGCUCACACACAGCUUCUCCGGAAUCAGUGCAGGUGACCGUUUAUGUUAAUGUCACUAACUCAGAUAAGACUUGCACAGGUGCCUGGGUGGUGAAAUAGGGAAUGUAAAAUGCU
Saccostrea cuccullata (small rock oyster) is the source of this 268-nucleotide long non-coding RNA. RefSeq lists it as uncharacterized. Lineage: Eukaryota; Metazoa; Mollusca; Bivalvia; Ostreida; Ostreidae. The transcript has 3 exons. The record is from RefSeq and is a predicted model, not a curated record.